This 70-nucleotide transfer RNA is filed under the name Camelus bactrianus (Bactrian camel). It matches the Rfam family "tRNA". Rfam says of the family: Transfer RNA (tRNA) molecules are approximately 80 nucleotides in length. Their secondary structure includes four short double-helical elements and three loops (D, anti-codon, and T loops). Further hydrogen bonds mediate the characteristic L-shaped molecular structure. tRNAs have two regions of fundamental functional importance: the anti-codon, which is responsible for specific mRNA codon recognition, and the 3' end, to which the tRNAs corresponding amino acid is attached (by aminoacyl-tRNA synthetases). tRNAs cope with the degeneracy of the genetic code in two manners: having more than one tRNA (with a specific anti-codon) for a particular amino acid; and 'wobble' base-pairing, i.e. permitting non-standard base-pairing at the 3rd anti-codon position. Lineage: Eukaryota; Metazoa; Chordata; Mammalia; Artiodactyla; Camelidae. The record is from Rfam by way of RNAcentral. RNAcentral also lists the same sequence under 2 other names.
GGGUGUAGCUCAGGGGUAGAGUGCCUGCCUAGCAUGCAUGAGGUCUUGGGUUCAAUCCCCAGUACCUCCA